This 500-nucleotide ribosomal RNA is filed under the name uncultured bacterium. RNAcentral describes it as "partial 16S ribosomal RNA". It matches the Rfam family "Bacterial small subunit ribosomal RNA", at positions 28 to 523 of the family's 1533-position model. The record is from RNAcentral.
GAUGAAUGCUAGCGGCAGGCUUAAUACAUGCAAGUCGUGGGGCAGCAUGAGUAGCAAUACUUGAUGGCGACCGGCAAACGGGUGCGGAGCACGUACACAACCUUCCGAUAAGUGGGGAAUAGCCCAGAGAAAUUUGGCUUCAUACCCCGUAACAUAUAGAGUAGGCAUCUUCUUUAUAGUAUAGCUUCGGCGCUCAUUGAUGGGUGUGCGUCUGAUUAGGGAGUUGGCGGGGUAACGGCCCACCAAGCCUACGAUCAGUAGCUGAUGUGAGAGCAUGAUCAGCCACACGGGCACUGAGACACGGGCCCGACUCCUACGGGAGGCAGCAGUAAGGAAUAUUGGACAAUGGGCGAAAGCCUGAUCCAGCCAUGCCGCGUGAAGGAUUAAGGUCCUCUGGAUUGUAAACUUCUUUUAUUUGGGACGAAAAAAGGGAAUUCUUUCCCACUUGACGGUACCAAGUGAAUAAGCACCGGCUAACUCCGUGCCAGCAGCCGCGGUAA